UGGAUGGAGAAGCAGAAGCCGCUGGUUGAGAAGGGGCGAGGAAGCUCAACGCUGGUUGAGAAGGCUGGUUGAGUCCGUGGCGGGCCAGGGUCUUGGAGCAUCUAAGACCGGACUCCCUGUACUAUAUGAACCGUGAAUGAGAGAUGUGGAUCAGUCCGGGCAUAUAAAGGUCGUUUGAGUAGAGCGUAUCUUCAUCCUGUAGAAUGGUUAUCUACCGAAUUACCGCACUGAUCCGCACAUGGUCGUUACUAACUCCUGUGGCAGCCAGGGAGCUUAUGGUUACUGGGUGUGCCCGCUGUGAGAUGGUAGCACAGGGUAUCUUCAACCGGUUUGGAUGGCGGCAUAUUAAUAGGAUAGGUGUUUAGUCAUCUUGAUCUUUUAGCCAUUCCAGGCUGCGGCGCGAUGUUCGCCAUGUAUCUCUUUUUUUCCUUUUUAUAUACUCUGUA
Hordeum vulgare subsp. vulgare (domesticated barley) is the source of this 446-nucleotide long non-coding RNA. RefSeq lists it as uncharacterized. The record is from RefSeq and is a predicted model, not a curated record. Lineage: Eukaryota; Viridiplantae; Streptophyta; Magnoliopsida; Poales; Poaceae. The transcript has 3 exons.